Long non-coding RNA from Callithrix jacchus (white-tufted-ear marmoset), 2789 nucleotides. The record is from Ensembl. NCBI's taxonomy places the organism in Eukaryota, Metazoa, Chordata, Mammalia, Primates, Cebidae.
AUGACCACACCACACCACCACAGGGAAGACAGGGGGGCUAACAGGACAAAAAUGACAUUUGCCAGAGUUUCUUGCUGCUUGGAUCUGACUGCAAUUUCAGUUUUGCCAUCAAGAGGUACUUCCAUGAGCUCUGGACAGUGGCAGAGAGGAAGAGGUGCUCUUCUGCAGUGCGUUGGAUGGUCUGCAGGCUCCUGCCAAUGUGAGGAUUUGCAGCAACUGGUAUAUCCAUGGUCUUGCCACCAGCUUCCUGAAUGUGGGGCAGCUGGAGCUGCAUUAGUAGUCCUUGUAGGGGCAGCUGCUGUCUCCUGGUCUCAGGCUCAUAGCUGUGGGGAUGUGGCUUUAAGCCAAAGCCAAGCAGUGGUCCUGACCUUCAUUUGCCUAGGCCUUCUGAUUACUCUGUAAGUCUCUAUUUCCCUUAUUAAAUCUCUUUCUGCUGGAUACUUUGGGUGUUUCUACUUUGUAUACAGAAUGCUGAUUGAUAUAUAGGACACAGCUGGGCCAGGUGAAAGCUGGGCUAAACAAAGGAGGGGUCAGCCUGGGCCUGAUUCAGAGGCCAAGGAAGAUGCUGACCCUGGUGUCUGUGAUGAGGAUGUGAUGUGGUUGAGAAAAAUCUCGAGCUUCAGGGUCAGAGGCUCUCAGGGUGAGCAGGGACAGACCAUCAGCCGGGCUUCAGUGACCUGCUGUGGACGCUGGAGGGGAGCAUUGCAGAAAUCCCAACAGGUCCUUUCAAAGGUGGCCUAGAACUGCCCUCAUUCAGAAACCAAGGGCUGCUCUCCUGUGGAGGGCUGAAGAAGACGGGCAAACAAAUCCAGCCACAGCUCACCCAGAGCCUGGGGUCCGGCUGGGUCUGGGUGACCAAUGUGGGGCCAAUUCUAGUACAUCCAGAGGAGGACAGGUGAGCAGCCCCCUCAAGGGGGCAGGCUGGAAAAGUGCAGAGUGUCAAGAAUUUCCUGGGGAAAGUGCUCAGGCUGCCUCGGCCCUGUGGUGCGCAUCUGCCAGCCCCCAGAGCAGUUCACCCUUUCAAGAGGAGAUGCUGCAGCAACCAGAGGGGCUCCGAGGUGCCUGCCCAGCUGGGCCCUGCACCCAAGAGAAAGGAGAGGCUGAGGCUACUGCAAAGGUACCAAGUUCCCGCCGGACUUACAUCUGAGCACCACACAUUCCCCCUACAGAAAGAUUAAAAGAGACUGUCUGCAGCUGAAUGACUAGGAGUAAUGGAAUUAGGCGUGAUCUGUGCGGUACCUGGCUCUCAGCUCCUGGCUGCAUUUGAUUGGCAGAGACAUCAUUUGCUGAGUGUUGCUGCCUGCCCAGUGACAUACAGGUACCACCCCGUUUAAUCCUAAGAGGAAUAAUCAUCAUCCCUAUUGGGACAAGUCCUAGUGGGUAUGAUAAAUUAUAUCGUUUGCUGAGAAUGAUGGAAAGGAAAACCUGGCUGUCCCCACCCGCAAGUGGAAAACUGCUUGGGGCGUUCUAAAGUAGCAAAACAGUAUAUAUAUAUAUCAUACACUGGUUAAAACAAUUCUUUAACCAUGGGAUAUGUGACUCUGUCCCCGUGGCUCCCUCAUGGAGAGUACUUUCUAGUUUGUGAUCAGUGGUAAGCAGGCACCAGCUGCUUACCUGGUUUAUCUUGGGUCUUUGUGAAAACACAGAACACCUGUUUAUUAAUAACAAUCACCUGUUCACAGAGAGAAACUACGUGGGUCAGCAUCUGCUCGAGGCCCUCAGCCUGGGAUGCCGUCAGCCCCUGAGGCUCUCAGCUCGGAAGGCUGUUGGCCCCCGGACGGUCCCACUUUACUGUUCUAUCUGGGUGUCUGCUUCUCAAUGCCUCCAGCACCGCCUGGGUGGGAGUCUUUACAGCCGAGCUGGUCUCCGUACAUCCCACUGGUCUAGAUGAGGAAACUGAAACUCAGAGAGGUUAAGGAAGUUGCCGGCCAUCACAGCGCUGGUUAAUGGAGUUGAGAUUUGAACUCAGUCUGCCUAGUGUGGAGCCACAAGUCCUACCACUAGGUGUACUGCCAAAAGGAGCAGGGUGUCUUCUGGGUCCCCUCCUUGACAGUCUGCGAGGCAAAAUCAGCACCACCUCCGGCCUUCCUUCAGCCUCUCCCCACCCAUCCUCUGCUUCCCAGCUUCUUCCCCAGGCACCCUUCUGACCUGUGCCUGGCAGAUGAGGGGUUAAUGUAGAAAAAGGGCUUUGCUCUCCUCUUCUGGCCUGGCUUGAUGGGUGCUGGGUGUGUUUUAAUCCUCCCUUCCUUUAUUUCAGUUUAAGCGGGUAAUUGUCAUGCUGCUCCCAUAUCAUCCACUGACAUUUAAGUCCCAGCUCUUUCUAAAUAAGGAGUGGAUUGGCCACAGCUUGUGCCAUGGGGAGGGGUAGUGUCAGGCCUUCCUUGCAGUGUGAGGGGCACCGUCCCUGGCUCUUGGACUUCCUUGAGGCAAGGAGGAGAGGAAAGGCUCCCAGCUGUGGCAGUUCUCACAGGUUUUAGAGACUCAGAGCUGCCCUGGAAUGAUCUGAAGCGGAGGUGUGGCUAUUCUGGUCCUGAUGACCCUCAGCUUAGAAUUUCACCCUUCCAGCCCACCUUUGUCUUGAAGGUGGAAACUGGGGACCCAUAACCAAAUGUUUUGCUUUGCCAAUGUACUGUUUAACAAUUUUGAAUACACUGUCCUUGAAUUCUUUCCAGUCCUCAUCACUCCCUAUGGUUCUAGCUUGCUAACUUGUAAAUUGUGCCGCCUCCAAACUUCUUUCUUAUAUGUGCAAGUGGCCCUGGAAAAGGUAGAUCCUACAAAUCACACCUCAU